UACGGGGGGGGCAAGCGUUGUUCGGAAUUACUGGGCGUAAAGGGCUCGUAGGCGGCCCACUAAGUCCGACGUGAAAUCCCCAGGCUUAACUUGGGAACUGCGUCGGAUACUGGUGGGCUUGAAUCCGGGAGAGGGAUGCGGAAUUCCAGGUGUAGCGGUGAAAUGCGUAGAUAUCUGGAGGAACACCGGUGGCGAAGGCGGCAUCCUGGACCGGUAUUGGCGGUGAGUGAGCGAAAGCCAGGGGAGCAAACGGG
This 254-nucleotide ribosomal RNA is filed under the name uncultured bacterium. RNAcentral's name for it is "partial 16S ribosomal RNA". It matches the Rfam family "Bacterial small subunit ribosomal RNA", at positions 524 to 776 of the family's 1533-position model. The record is from RNAcentral.